AUUGAACGCUAGCGGGAUGCUUUACACAUGCAAGUCGAACGGCAGCGCGGACUUCGGUCUGGCGGCGAGUGGCGAACGGGUGAGUAAUGUAUCGGAACGUGCCCAGUAGCGGGGGAUAACUACGCGAAAGCGUAGCUAAUACCGCAUACACCCUACGGGGGAAAGCAGGGGAUCGUAAGACCUUGCACUAUUGGAGCGGCCGAUAUCGGAUUAGCUAGUUGGUGAGGUAACGGCUCACCAAGGCGACGAUCCGUAGCUGGUUUGAGAGGACGACCAGCCACACUGGGACUGAGACACGGCCCAGACUCCUACGGGAGGCAGCAGUGGGGAAUUUUGGACAAUGGGGGCAACCCUGAUCCAGCCAUCCCGCGUGUGCGAUGAAGGCCUUCGGGUUGUAAAGCACUUUUGGCAGGAAAGAAACGUCGCGGGCUAAUACCCCGUGGAACUGACGGUACCUGCAGAAUAAGCACCGGCUAACUACGUG
This 484-nucleotide ribosomal RNA is filed under the name uncultured bacterium. Its description in RNAcentral is "partial 16S ribosomal RNA". It matches the Rfam family "Bacterial small subunit ribosomal RNA", at positions 30 to 507 of the family's 1533-position model. The record is from RNAcentral.